Molecule: non-coding RNA, 1656 nt
Organism: Chrysemys picta bellii (western painted turtle)
Lineage: Eukaryota; Metazoa; Chordata; Testudines; Emydidae
Source: RefSeq, a predicted model, not a curated record
CGCAGCGUCGACGGGGGGAGACUUCCGGCCGCGUCUGGACCCCGGUAAGUCCGGACUAAGUGGGGACCAGCCCUCAGUCUCCAUCGCCUCUCAGAGGGGAAACACAUUGACCUGCAGGGGCUCUACUAUCACUUCUUUCCAUGUGCUGUUUGUCAGUGACCAACCACCUGUUGUAAAGCUGUCUGGUAAGCCAUCAGCUCUCCUCAAACUCCAGAAAGAGCUCUUCUGCCCUCUUUUACCCAGCCCCAAAUAAACACAGGAACAUUUCUUCCUCUUCAGUCUCCUGGCCCACUUUCUGGCUAAAAGUUGCAGCAUGAUUUUUCAGACUCCAGCCACCCGAGCAGCAAUCCUGGUAAAAUCCAGUGCUGCCUGAAAAUCCUGCCCGUAAGUGGGAUGCACAGCGAUGAAUUCCCUGAAAACGUUAUCGGCGUUUUUAUGCCAAAUGAGCGUUGCCUGUUGAUGCUGUGCUUGGCAACCUCAGUACCAGACUGCUGUUCCUGCAAUACUAUUGAUCACUAUUCUGUAUCCUUCACUAGAGAGAGAGAGAGUGCAAAGUAAGGAUGCACAAAGGGUUUUAUUUUAUUCCCUCAGCCUGUCUCUGGGACCAGUAGAAUGUUCACCAGAUCCCUCUUCAUUAAUAAGACAGGACGGUGCUUUUGAGUCUGCCUGCUGUUGAGAGGUUGUAAUGGAAAACACAGCACUUUCAUUCUUCAAUUAAUCCCUGGCAAAUUUAGGAACUUCUGGGCAUAGAGUUCUGAAUUCAGUUAGGAAUUCACACCGCCCCGUUAGAUAACCAAGCAAUGCUUUUCUUCAGCUCCGUGCAAAAGUCCUCUUUUGAAGGGCCCAACAAAAUCAGAAUGUGCAGAACAUAAAGUUCUUCACUGGGUGUUGAAAAUAAAAAGGCAAAAGUAGAUGUGUAGGCAGCAUGUAGGUGUGAGACAUGCAUUGAUAGUUCAACUGCCAGGGCUUCAUUCCUCAAGGAACCCUGAGAAUUGCUGCACAGGGGGUAACGGCUGGCCUAGCACUUUUGGCUAUGUAGCUAAUUUAGCCAACACAGUUAAACUACUAAAGUAACUAAAAGUUGCUUCCCAAGCACCCUUGAUGCACAACAGGAUUUUUUUCCUAUUGUUUUCAACUAACACUCAGGGCAGGGAAGGAGGACACAGGCUUUGUUCCAAAGGGUUUCAGAAUGAUUCCCUCCUUUAGAAAGUGACACAGUUGGUGUUACGAAACUCUGCAGGGAAGGGAGCAGAUGUAACAAUGUGCAGAAUACAUCGAAAGACAACUUCAGAGAAAGCUGAGCCAUGGAGACAUCUGCUCCUUGUGCCCUGUCUCUCGGCUCAUGCCUGCAGUGGGAAGCUUUCAGCUUUGAAUGAGUCAGCUGUUGGUCUGCCCACCAUUCAGAGAGCGGGAAGCCGUUCCAGUCACACUCUGUCCAGACUAACAGUUAUUCUUUCUCAUGGAAAAUACCAACCCAGCCCCAUGUAUGUUCUUUUCCAUUUGCACUUUCUAAUUCGUUUGCUUUUCAAAUGGCUUCUUGAAACCUAACUAUUUUAUUGUACCUGUAAUUAUUUUUGUUCUCACCUAAUGUGCAUUUUCUGUCUGUAUAAAAAAGCUUUGUUAUGUAAUUUAAUAAUAAAUUAGAAUUCUAAAUUA